Molecule: ribosomal RNA, 411 nt
Filed under: Triticum aestivum (bread wheat)
Lineage: Eukaryota; Viridiplantae; Streptophyta; Magnoliopsida; Poales; Poaceae
Description: partial small subunit ribosomal RNA
Source: RNAcentral
AUGGCCUGCUUUAAACUCCCGAGAGGGCUGUGUGACCAUAUUAAUAAAAUCAUUCGGAAGUUCUGGUGGGGAUGCAAGAAUGGUCAGAGGAAAACAGCAUGGGUCUCGUGGAGAACUAUGUCAAAACCAAAAUUCAUGGGUGGUUUGGGAUUUAGAGACAUGGAGCUUUUCAAUCUAGCCCUGCUUGCGCGGCAAGUAUGGAGGCUACUGCAUGACCCUGGUUCGUUAAGUGCUCGUGUUCUCAAAGCGAAGUACUUCCGUGAAGGGUAUCUGAUGGAAGCAAAACUAGGUCCUGCGCCCUCCCAAGUCUGGCGCUCCCUCUUGGAGGGGCGAGAUGUUCUUGCUCUGGGACUCAUUAAGAGAAUUGGGUCGGGCCAAGACACUAAUAUCUGGCACGAUAAUUGGAUGCCG